CACCCACUCGCUCAGUCGCCUCUUCACGCCCAUUCCCCUCGCUCACCGACUCCCCCAAAUGCUUUGCCCGCAGCGGUGACACACAUCCCCUUCACCUGCGUCGGUGACUCAGCCGCGUCGCCGCCCUUCUCCUCAGGCGUUGCCGCCUCGCCUUCUCGUCCGCGCCGCCUCUCCCUCUCGCCCGCAUCCUCUGCGCCACGCUCGAACCAAAGUUGGUUGUUUUAGUGAGGUCGAGUAGGAGCGUGAGGAGCAUGUGCACGGCGGCCUUGUCCUGCUCGACGACGGCGGCGACGGACGCUAGCGCUCCUCGUCGCCAUCGACCUGCAAGGAGGAGCGCCGUCUUGGACGCUGCUAUCCCUGACGCUGCUGGUGUUCCGUCGCUGCUACGUGUUCCCCGUCACCUGCUCCCAGGUCGCCCCCGAAGUCGAGCUACCCCCGCUCGACCUGCAAGAUGUACUGUGGCCAAGAACUGCUCUACCGCAGGAGUAGAUUGGAAAGGCAAGGUGCAAGGACAGAUUGGAAAGGCUGUUGCUGCUCCUGAACGAUGCGGCUACUGCUGCCACUGCCUCUCAUCUAUUCGGGCAUGAGCACAUUCUUGGAGUGGAUCUGCAUUUCAAAAAGUCUACAAGUGGGAGUACAUGGAGUACUACAGCUUAAAUCGAGGAGAAGAUGGUGCCUGCUCCGUGAUGAUGCCGCUGUCACCUACGACUUCCUCGACCACCACCACCACCACGACUUCCUCAAACAGGGUGAGUACUGAGUACUCCUCCAAUGCUUGUACUCCUAGUCCUAUCAAUGUUUACUGCUGUAAUCAUGGGGCAGUUAGCUGCUGUAAUCAUGGCCGGAGUAAUGCAACAUUAGUUGGUAAGAAACAAUGUCAGUAUGAAACCUCUCUACGGUAACUAUUUUUUCUGUCAGGAACA
Molecule: long non-coding RNA, 923 nt
Organism: Triticum aestivum (bread wheat)
Lineage: Eukaryota; Viridiplantae; Streptophyta; Magnoliopsida; Poales; Poaceae
Exons: 3
Source: RefSeq, a predicted model, not a curated record